AGCGUGCCCCGCGCUCCACCAAGCCGCGACAGGGAGGCGGGGAGGGUGCGUGCGAACAUGACGCAGAGAUCCAUUACUGCGCGCGGCGGGGAAGAGGACGCCGCCGGGAGCUGGUGCGUGACACACUGCAGCCUCGCGGGCUGCCCGGGACUUCAUCAAGCCCGGGUCGGCUCGGGGCGGGCAGGGGUAGGAUCCAUACCGCCGAACUGCGGCCCCGCUGCUCGCAGCCGCUCUUCCGGGAGCGCCCGCUUAGGACUCACUCCCGCCCAUUCCUUACCUCGAUGGAAUCCUUAGCCCUUAGAGAGAGGGCUAAAAAACAAAUAAACAAACAACAGACAAACAAAAAAAAAACCAAAUUCCAAAUGGCCCCCGGACCCUCCCGCAGAUGCAGGGCGCACACUGGCCAGUUCUAACCAUAGACUUGACUGCAUGUUGACAAGGGUUUCCAACCUAGCUUCCCCGAGGUACUGCAUGAAUCAGUCCUUGCUCAGAUGGUGGUUGCUGUAAAUAGCUGCAAUUUCCCUCCUUCCGUCUCAAAGCACGGAUGGGAAUGGAUUUGCAGCAGGGACUCUGCAUUAUAUUUAAGGUCUUGGUGAGAUGGACACGGGCUCCAUCAGCUCCAGACUUCCUGGGACAUCUCGGCAUUUCCAGGUCCGUUUGCCCCAAUGGUGGAAGUCACCGCCCAUAUAUGAGGAAAUAAAUGUCCACACCUAGCAUUUGGGAUAACGUGGCUAAAUUGUUUUCAGUUUUUGAAAGACGCUGCAGAAAAAGAGGCAAAACCUGAUACAGCACAGCAGCAUGCCCCUCCCGCCCCCAAAUACGAGAUCGAAUCACAUUUUUAAGGGAAAAAAUAGGCAUUCUCAUCUUAGAUAUGUAUGUAGCAUAUUUUAUAAUAUAUAUUUUUAUCUAAAAAUUAUGCUUUUCUGUAUUUUACAACUUUCUUUAUUAAGCAUUUUUAUUUUGUGCUAUUUUUUACAGUAAAAACUCUGAAGACCCAAAGAAAUUUAAUAUUAGCUUAAAUGUACAUUAGAUAUAUUUAUAGAAUCAAUUUAUUAGCUGCUAUAUUGUUUGACAUAAAAGGCUUUUGAACUAAAGAUAGAAAUGGAAGCAUUCUUCAUUUAGAAACAACCUUUCUCCUCUUCUUCCAACUCUUGUUGGCUUACCUCCAAAAUAUAUCCUGCAUCUGUCUUUCUCACCACCUAGACUGCUCCUAGUUUAGUUACUGGUCACCCUUCAUCAUCAUUCACCUGGAUUGCAAAAAUAGCCUCUUGUCUGGUUUUCCUGAAUUCAUUUUCUCCCCACUGCAGUCCUCACUUGCCACAUAGCAUUUUAAAAGAUUGCUCUUUUAAAAUGGAAAUCAAAUCCUAUCUCUUCUCUUUUUAGAACCUUCAGUGCCUUCCCAUGGCACCUUGAUUAGACCCCAAGUUCUUCACCAUAGCCAAAAUGUAAUGUGCCAUCUGCCCCAUCCACCCUCGCUCAUCGCUCCUCAUCUCAUAUCACUUUUUCACUUGUCACAGCAUGCUUUUACAUAUCCCUUCUUUCAGAUCCAAAGCCCCACAAGCUUAUUUCUGUCUCCUAAUCCCAGCUCUUGCUAUUCAUUCAGUGUGGAAGAUCUCCUUCAUAAAUUCUUCGCAAAUCUACUUCAUUCUUAUUCCAGCCUCAGCUCAGGUAUCAGAGCUGACCACCUUCUGUCCCAACCCUCAACUGUACUCAUUAUCACAUUACCCUAUUCCAUUUCAACACAGUAAUUAAUUGACAUUAUUUUAUAUAUCCAUGGCAUUACCAGGGUGUUCUCUGUCUCCACACACUAGAAUGUAAGCCCCAUGAAAACAGGCUCCUUGUCUUUCUUGUACACCGUGAUCUCUCUGGGUUCUAGAAUAGUGCCUGGUCCAUAGUUGGAAAUCAGUAAGUAUUGAUUAAAUAAAUUAUUGAGUGUGAUUUCCUAGUGUCUUGUUUGUAAAAUGCCACUAAUAGCAUUCUGCAUACUCUGCCAUGAGUUUUAUAGUUAUUUUUAUGCCCAUAUGCUUCCUCCUCUCUAGUGUGAACUCUACGAGGCAGGAUCAUAUUUAGUUCAUUUUAUUCUCCAUGUCCUUAUGGAGUCUGGCACAUUACAGAUGUUUAAUACAUUUUCUGGACUGAGUUGCAAUGAGUAAAUGGGUAAUAAGAUGAUAUAGUAUGACUUUACACCAAGUCUAACCUUUCACCUGGGGACAUGCAAAAUUAUUAUGUAUCCAGAGGAACAGGUUGUUGCUUUGACCCCUGUAACAUCGCAUACACAUACACAUGGACACACAUACACUUGUUCUCGAUAUUUUCAAAGACUGUUCAUAUCCAUUAUUUUAUUUGAUCUCCAAGCUGGUAUGUAUAAGCAGAAGCUCAGGGGCAUUAAUUGACCUGCUCAAGCUUACAUAGCUAAUAUAAAGCAGAGACAGGGAUAGAGCUUACUACUUUCAAACACCCACAAAUAUGCAC
Molecule: long non-coding RNA, 2472 nt
Filed under: Homo sapiens (human)
Lineage: Eukaryota; Metazoa; Chordata; Mammalia; Primates; Hominidae
Description: non-protein coding LINC00636:5
Source: RNAcentral